RNAcentral lists this ribosomal RNA (819 nucleotides) under uncultured eukaryote. RNAcentral's name for it is "SSU rRNA". It matches the Rfam family "Eukaryotic small subunit ribosomal RNA", at positions 629 to 1426 of the family's 1831-position model. The record is from RNAcentral.
CGGUGUUUAACUGGCGUGAUGCGGGACGUCCUACCGGUGGGCUUAGCCUCGCGAGGGGCGGCCCAACUAAUAUCCCGUCGCGGUGCUCUUUACUGAGUGUCGAGUCGGGCCGGUACGUUUACUUUGAACAAAUUAGAGUGCUUAAAGCAGGCUAUCCUCGCCUGAAUACUGCGUGCAUGGAAUAAUGGAAUAGGACCUCGGUUCUAUUUUGUUGGUUUUCGGAACCCCGAGGUAAUGAUUAAUAGGGACAGAUGGGGGCAUUCGUAUUGCGACGUUAGAGGUGAAAUUCUUGGAUCGUCGCAAGACGGACAGAAGCGAAAGCAUUUGCCAAAAAUGUUUUCAUUAAUCAAGAACGAAAGUUAGAGGUUCGAAGGCGAUCAGAUACCGCCCUAGUUCUAACCAUAAACGAUGCCAGCUAGCGAUCCGCCGAAGUUCCUCCGAUGACUCGGCGGGCAGCUUCCGGGAAACCAAAGCUUUUGGGUUCCGGGGGAAGUAUGGUUGCAAAGCUGAAACUUAAAGGAAUUGACGGAAGGGCACCACCAGGAGUGGAGCCUGCGGCUUAAUUUGACUCAACACGGGAAACCUCACCAGGCCCAGACACCGGAAGGAUUGACAGAUUGAUAGCUCUUUCUUGAUUCGGUGGGUGGUGGUGCAUGGCCGUUCUUAGUUGGUGGAGCGAUUUGUCUGGUUAAUUCCGAUAACGAACGAGACUCUAGCCUGCUAAAUAGGCGUACCUUAUGGUAUCGCGAAGGCCCCCGGCUUCGGCCGGUGGGUUUUUACUACCAACGUACAAACAAAUCUUCUUAGAGGGACAGGCGG